GACGAACGCUGGCGGCGUGCUUAACACAUGCAAGUCGAACGGAAAGGCCUCAGCUUGCUGGGGUACUCGAGUGGCGAACGGGUGAGUAACACGUGGGUGAUCUGCCUUGCACUCUGGGAUAAGCUUGGGAAACUGGGUCUAAUACCGGAUAUGAACUGCCUUUAGUGUGGUGGUUGGAAAGUUUUUUCGGUGCAAGAUGAGCUCGCGGCCUAUCAGCUUGUUGGUGGGGUAAUGGCCUACCAAGGCGUCGACGGGUAGCCGGCCUGAGAGGGUGUACGGCCACAUUGGGACUGAGAUACGGCCCAGACUCCUACGGGAGGCAGCAGUGGGGAAUAUUGCACAAUGGGCGGAAGCCUGAUGCAGCGACGCCGCGUGGGGGAUGACGGCCUUCGGGUUGGAAACUCCUUUCGACAGGGACGAAGCUUUUUGUGACGGUACCUGUAGAAGAAGCACCGGCUAACUACGUG
RNAcentral lists this ribosomal RNA (467 nucleotides) under uncultured bacterium. RNAcentral's name for it is "partial 16S ribosomal RNA". It matches the Rfam family "Bacterial small subunit ribosomal RNA", at positions 28 to 507 of the family's 1533-position model. The record is from RNAcentral.